AUCGCUUCUUGGCCUUUUGGCUAAGAUCAAGUGUAGUAUCUGUUCUUAUCAGUUGUGGAUUUUACAGAUUUUACGCUUGUGGAGAACGCUGCUGCGCUUGGGCCUUUUUUUUAUAGUUUUAGUGAGGCCAAGGGUGAUCUUAGGUGCAGACCCGGGAGGCUUGUCCUC
Small nuclear RNA from Electrophorus electricus (electric eel), 168 nucleotides. Its record names the gene U2. It matches the Rfam family "U2 spliceosomal RNA". From Rfam's summary of the family: U2 is a small nuclear RNA (snRNA) component of the spliceosome (involved in pre-mRNA splicing). Complementary binding between U2 snRNA (in an area lying towards the 5' end but 3' to hairpin I) and the branchpoint sequence (BPS) of the intron results the bulging out of an unpaired adenosine, on the BPS, which initiates a nucleophilic attack at the intronic 5' splice site, thus starting the first of two transesterification reactions that mediate splicing. The record is from Ensembl. NCBI's taxonomy places the organism in Eukaryota, Metazoa, Chordata, Actinopteri, Gymnotiformes, Gymnotidae.